Molecule: ribosomal RNA, 460 nt
Filed under: uncultured bacterium
Lineage: Bacteria
Description: partial 16S ribosomal RNA
Rfam family: Bacterial small subunit ribosomal RNA
Source: RNAcentral
CCUACGGGAGGCUGCAGUGAGGAAUAUUGGUCAAUGGGCGCGAGACUGAACCAGCCAAGUAGCGUGCAGGAUGACUGCCCUACGGGUUGUAAACUUCUUUUAUGCAGGGAUAAAGUGAGGCACGUGUGCCUUUUUGUAUGUACUUUAUGAAUAAGGAUCGGCUAAUUCCGUGCCAGCAGCCGCGGUAAUACGGAGGAUCCGAGCGUUAUCCGGAUUUAUUGGGUUUAAAGGGAGCGUAGGUCGGUUGUUAAGCGUGCUGUGAAAUUCUGCGGCUCAACCAUGACACUGCAAUGGAUACUGGCAGUCUUGAGUACAGUUGAGGUAGGCGGAAUUCGUGGUGUAGCGGUGAAAUGCUUAGAUAUCACGAAGAACUCCGAUUGCGAAGGCAGCUUACUAAACUGCUACUGACACUGAUGCUCGAAAGCGUGGGUAUCAAACAGGAUUAGAUACCCGGGUAGUC